AAAGCUGCAGGCACAGGGGCGCCGCUCUACGGCUUUGGAGACCACUGCACCGGUCCUCCGGGCUGGGCCGGCGCGCGCUGCGCGCUCCUCGCCUUCACCCGGGUCUCCGGGUCUCCCCGGCUCCGACGGGCUCCGGCCUCGGCCCCCCGCUCCGGCUUGCCUUUCCUGCCGGGUCUCCUGGCACAGGCUCGGCUCCUGCGGCGGCGGCCACGCGCUCUCCGCUCCGCGCCGGGGUCCUGGGCACUCUCCCUGGGCCCCGCCGCUCGCAGGCUGGGACUGGGGAUUGAGGGUGGGCAGCGGCCAGGGGAGCGGGGCAGGUGGGGAGCCGCGGGCGCGCGGGAGGGAGGGGGCGACAGAGGGAGCCCAAGGAAAAAAGAUGCAUCUGCUCUGAAAGCGCCAAUGAAGGAAGGACGGAGGGGGCAGGAGCGGAGAGCGGAGAGAACGCCCACCAGGAGGGGUGGCGAGACGGGCAGUUUACAAACUGCCAGGGCUGGAGGAGCCCCGCGAGGAAGGAAGGAGGUUGGGAGGAGAGAAGGAAACCCAAGAGGAAGAUCUCAUUUCCCCCCGAAAAGAUCAGGAGCCACCUGCUUCGAUAUGCGGUAUUCCCGAGGAGAUUUAGAGGGAAAAGAAAAAACUGAAAAGAAAAAAAAAAAAAAAAACCCUAAACACACACUUGAAACUGGAAGACGCCUAAGACGCGUGGAAACGGAGAGGGCGAGAAGAUCUCCCGGGGCUACAGAUCUGUCAGCUAAGGAAGAUUGGAUUUAAAAUAUUCCAGACAAGAAAAAGGUCACCGCUGGUGAACUGGUGGCAAUGAGGUAUAGAAAACAGUAAAUAUGCAUAGCUGAAUGUGACUGAAGUUGAAGACUUAUUUCUACAAACACUUACUUGCUUGGCAUCUGAACUGAUGAUAUGUGCUCACCUAUGUGUCCCAACAACUCUUAUAAAGGUAACAGUUUUCAUUAUUGUAGUCAUUUAAAUAAAAAUUAUUAAACAUAAUAACUUCAAUAAAACUAUACAUUGAAUAAUGCUUAAUGAGACAAGUGGGAAUUCACAGACCUUAUUUUAUCUCUUCUCCUCUAGACCUAAAGGCCCAUAAUCUACCCCAG
Molecule: long non-coding RNA, 1109 nt
Filed under: Chinchilla lanigera (long-tailed chinchilla)
Lineage: Eukaryota; Metazoa; Chordata; Mammalia; Rodentia; Chinchillidae
Description: lncRNA (ENSCLAG00000027436.1)
Source: RNAcentral